AUUUAUUGCCGACGCAAACUUUGCUUGUUGGGGCGGCUGCUUGAGUACUACGAGCGUGUGCUUAAAACUCAAAGAAUUUGGCGGCUCGUUAACUACCUAGGGGAAUAUGUGCCUUAAUCCGAUGAUACCCGUUAUAUCUUACUGCGCCUUGAAAACGAACAGUUGGUGUAUUGCCGUUGUCAGCUUGUUGUCCUAGCAAAAAGUAACAGGCUUAAUGGAACUAUUAAUGAGUUAAUAAGGUCCGUGAAUUCAGGUCGAAAUGCUGCCUAUGGUGCGAGGGAGUAGGUAUUACGAGUUUAAAUUUAAAAUACGGAUCUCAUUUUUCUGUGAAAUCUCUGAGAGAAGGUGGACUUAGGAGUAAGGGGGGAUUAACAUGCCCCCCUGAACGUGAAUCUAACUGG
Molecule: ribosomal RNA, 401 nt
Filed under: Caribachlamys sentis
Lineage: Eukaryota; Metazoa; Mollusca; Bivalvia; Pectinida; Pectinidae
Description: partial 12S ribosomal RNA
Rfam family: Bacterial small subunit ribosomal RNA (bases 42-401)
Source: RNAcentral